Molecule: ribosomal RNA, 451 nt
Filed under: uncultured bacterium
Lineage: Bacteria
Description: bacterial SSU rRNA
Rfam family: Bacterial small subunit ribosomal RNA
Source: RNAcentral
AUUGAACGCUGGCGGCAGGCCUAACACAUGCAAGUCGAGCGGUAACAGGAAGUAGCUUGCUACUUUGCUGACGAGCGGCGGACGGGUGAGUAAUGCUUGGGAACUUGCCUUUGGGAGGGGGAUAACCGCUGGAAACGGUGGCUAAUACCGCAUGAUGUUUACGAACCAAAGUGGGGGCUCUUCGGACCUCACGCCCAGAGAUAGGCCCAAGUGAGAUUAGCUAGUUGGUGAGGUAAAGGCUCACCAAGGCGACGAUCUCUAGCUGUUCUGAGAGGAUGAUCAGCCACACUGGGACUGAGACACGGCCCAGACUCCUAUGGGAGGCAGCAGUGGGGAAUAUUGGACAAUGGGGGCAACCCUGAUCCAGCCAUGCCGCGUGUGUGAAGAAGGCCUUCGGGUUGUAAAGCACUUUCAGUGGUGAGGAAGGCCUGUUGGUUAAUACCCAACAGGA